Molecule: ribosomal RNA, 724 nt
Filed under: uncultured Bacteroidales bacterium
Lineage: Bacteria; Pseudomonadati; Bacteroidota; Bacteroidia; Bacteroidales
Description: bacterial SSU rRNA
Rfam family: Bacterial small subunit ribosomal RNA
Source: RNAcentral
AGGCUUAACACAUGCAAGUCGAGGGGCAGCAUGAACUUAGCUUGCUAAGUUUGAUGGCGACCGGCGCACGGGUGAGUAACACGUAUCCAACCUGCCGAUGACUCGGGGAUAGCCUUUCGAAAGAAAGAUUAAUACCCGAUGGCAUAGUUCUUCCGCAUGGUGGAACUAUUAAAGGAUUUCGGUCAUCGAUGGGGAUGCGUUCCAUUAGGUUGUUGGCGGGGUAACGGCCCACCAAGCCUUCGAUGGAUAGGGGUUCUGAGAGGAAGGUCCCCCACAUUGGAACUGAGACACGGUCCAAACUCCUACGGGAGGCAGCAGUGAGGAAUAUUGGUCAAUGGACGAGAGUCUGAACCAGCCAAGUAGCGUGAAGGAUGACUGCCCUAUGGGUUGUAAACUUCUUUUAUACGGGAAUAAAGUGAGGCACGUGUGCCUUUUUGUAUGUACCGUAUGAAUAAGGAUCGGCUAACUCCGUGCCAGCAGCCGCGGUAAUACGGAGGAUCCGAGCGUUAUCCGGAUUUAUUGGGUUUAAAGGGAGCGUAGGCGGACGCUUAAGUCAGUUGUGAAAGUUUGCGGCUCAACCGUAAAAUUGCAGUUGAUACUGGGUGUCUUGAGUACAGUAGAGGCAGGCGGAAUUCGUGGUGUAGCGGUGAAAUGCUUAGAUAUCACGAAGAACUCCGAUUGCGAAGGCAGCCUGCUGGACUGUAACUGACGCUGAUGCUCGAAA